This 1241-nucleotide small RNA is filed under the name Drosophila pseudoobscura pseudoobscura. RNAcentral's name for it is "GA28761". The record is from RNAcentral. Lineage: Eukaryota; Metazoa; Arthropoda; Insecta; Diptera; Drosophilidae.
UAGCAAUUCCCAUUCAUAGUUCAAAAUUCAAUGUGUUAACAUAGAGAAAAAUAUUUAUGUAUAAAAUAUUUGCAAUUUCAUUUUGUUAGUUGUGUUCUGGGUUUCGUUCUCUAAUUGAGCCAUAAUUAAGCUGAGACUGAGCUAAUAAUCCCAACUGAAUUAGCAUCCCGUUGAGCUUCGCAUAGCUUUUAGACGGAAACCCCCUAAGUAAUCAACAUGUGUUGUGGACCAGCUUCGUGCUGCCCGAGCUGCGGCCCACCCUGUGGCGGACCCUAUUCUACGCAAUGUUGCGUGGAGCUCUGCUGUUCCCCCUGUACCCCGGCCUACUUGCAGUGCACCAUCUGUCCCUGCUACCCUCGCUGUUGCUAGCCCAGUGAAGGACGAAAAGUUAACAUUGACCUCACGGCGGAUAGUCCUAUACAUUGCUGAUCCCAACUAACGAAAUGAUAAUGCAAAACAAAAAAAAAUAAAUAAAAUAUAAUAGAGGAACGAUCAUAAGACAAUAUUGCCUCCAUUUGUUCCUUGGGCAGAGAUGGGACUAUAAUUUUUUCGACUGUUGGGCUAGUCCCGGAUUUGAACCCAGCUCCACCAGCCAGAUGGCCUAGUCCCGUGGGCGAUUGCCAUUUAUUACUCACUUUUGUAUUGAGCCUGAACAGGCUGUGGCUUUUCAUUUACUAGAAUGUGUGUAUUCAAUCGAAUGAAUUCAGUUGGUUGCUAAAUUCAAUUCCGAUCCGGUUAGGUGCGUUGUUCGGCUGAUUUUCAGAUAUUUCCACAGAGGCACCAUGUGCUGUCCAAGUCGCUAUUACCGGAACACGCCGUGCGUGCAGUGCUGUCUCAUCGACUGCAGCUACUGCUGCUUCCGAUCAGACUGUUGUGGCCCCUGCUGCGGGACCACCCACCCGCCUAGCUUGUGCGGCGGGUGCUGUGGAUCUUGCUGCUAGCAGGGCUGAAGAUGGACCACGACAACGCACCCCGACCCGGCGGACUGGCAAGCAUUCUCCAACUGGAUGUAGAAUUUAUUCUCUUUUAUGAACAGCAACAGCAACAGCAACAGAACGGGUAGUAGUAGGCUUCGAAUCGAUUUGGAGCAGCUGUCCAGGUUGACGAGCUGCCGAAUAUUGGCUGGAGCUCAUUCCGACUUUGAGCCUGGUUGUGAACACAUCAAAAAAAGUUUUCAAUCUCCAAAAACCAACAUCUUUUGGAACCCUUUUUUUGUUUGUGACUUGGUCUACCUUUGACAG